AUUGAACGCUGGCGGCAGGCCUAACACAUGCAAGUCGAGGGGAUGAAGGGAGCUUGCUCCUGGAUUCAGCGGCGGACGGGUGAGUAAUGCCUAGGAAUCUGCCUGGUAGUGGGGGAUAACGUCCGGAAACGGGCGCUAAUACCGCAUACGUCCUGAGGGAGAAAGUGGGGGAUCUUCGGACCUCACGCUAUCAGAUGAGCCUAGGUCGGAUUAGCUAGUUGGUGGGGUAAAGGCCUACCAAGGCGACGAUCCGUAACUGGUCUGAGAGGAUGAUCAGUCACACUGGAACUGAGACACGGUCCAGACUCCUACGGGAGGCAGCAGUGGGGAAUAUUGGACAAUGGGCGAAAGCCUGAUCCAGCCAUGCCGCGUGUGUGAAGAAGGUCUUCGGAUUGUAAAGCACUUUAAGUUGGGAGGAAGGGCAGUAAGUUAAUACCUUGCUGUUUUGACGUUACCAACAGAAUAAGCACCGGCUAACUUCGUG
Molecule: ribosomal RNA, 484 nt
Filed under: uncultured bacterium
Lineage: Bacteria
Description: partial 16S ribosomal RNA
Rfam family: Bacterial small subunit ribosomal RNA
Source: RNAcentral